This is an RNA transcript of Eurypyga helias (sunbittern), 2102 nucleotides long. It is a transcript of the gene named anaphase promoting complex subunit 5, with no coding region annotated. The record is from RefSeq and is a predicted model, not a curated record. NCBI's taxonomy places the organism in Eukaryota, Metazoa, Chordata, Aves, Eurypygiformes, Eurypygidae. The transcript is spliced from 15 exons.
UUAGGCUAAAACUUAUGGCAGAAGGGGAACUGAAAGAUAUGGAACAAUUUUUUGAUGACCUUUCAGAUUCAUUUACAGGGACGGAGCCAGAAGUUCAUAAAACAAGUGUAGUAGGGCUGUUUCUCCGCCACAUGAUCUUGGCAUACAAUAAACUGUCUUUUAGUCAGGUGUAUAAACUUUACACUGCCCUUCAGCAGUACUUCCAAAACGACGAGAAAAAGAAUGGAAUCGAUGAGAACGACAUGGAACUGGCAAAUACAGAGGAACUGGAGGGGAAAAUGGAGAAAGAAGAACUUGAUGUGCCUUUAAGGGAAGAAGAGAUAUCCUGCAGUGGGCCUCUUUCCCAGAAACAAGCAGAGUAUUUCCUUUCUCAGCAGGCUUCCCUGUUAAAGAAUGAUGAAACAAAGGCUCUUGCUCCGGCGUCUUUACAGAAGGAGUUGAACAACUUGUUAAAAUUUAAUCCAGACUUUGCUGAAGCACAUUAUUUAAGCUACUUAAAUAGUCUCAGAGUGCAAGAUGUCUUCAGCUCGACGCACAGCCUCCUCCAUUACUUUGACCGUUUAAUCCUCACUGGAGCAGAGAGCAAAAGCAACGGGGAUGAGGGUUACGGCCGGAGCCUGAGAUACGCCGCUCUCAACCUAGCUGCGCUGCACUGCCGCUUCGGCCAUUACCAACAGGCUGAACUUGCACUUCAGGAGGCCAUCCGGAUUGCACAGGAGUCUAACGACCAUGUCUGCUUGCAGCACUGCCUGAGCUGGUUGUACAUCUUGGAGCAGAAGAUAUUCGAUAGCUGUGUUCUGCUGGAGCACUCUGUAAACAAGUCCUUACAUUUCGGUUUGCCGUACCUUGCUUCCCUGGGAAUACAGUCCUUGGUUCAGCAAAGAGCUUUUGCAGGAAAGGCUGCCAACAAACUAAUGGAUGCCUUAAAAGACUCAGAUCUGUUGCACUGGAAACACAGCUUGUCAGAGCUCAUCGACAUUAGUAUAGCCCAGAAAACCGCCAUCUGGAGAUUAUACGGCCGCAGCACCAUGGCACUUCAGCAAGCCCAGACGCUGCUGAGCAUGAACAGUCUGGAGGCUGUGAACGUGGGCGUCCAGCAGAAUAACACCGAGUCCUUCGCUGUGGUGCUGUGUCACCUGGCUGAGCUGCACGCCGAGCAGGGGUACUUCGCAGCUGCUUCUGAAAUACUGAAACACCUGAAGGAAAGGUUCCCCGCCAACAGUCAGCAUGCACAGCUUUGGAUGCUGUUUGAUCAGAAGAUACAGUUUGAGCGAGCCAUGAACGAUGGCAGGUACCACGUAGCUGACUCUCUCGUAGCAGGGAUUACCGCGCUUGAAAGCAUUGAGGGCGCGUACAGAAAAGCCAUUGUGUUGAAAGCCCAAAAUCAAAUGUCAGAGGCGCACAAACUUCUGCAGAAACUGUUGACCCACUGCCAGAAAAUCAAGAACACCGAGAUGGUGAUUAGCGUGCUGCUGUCAGUCGCGGAGCUCUACUGGAGAUCUUCGUGUCACACCAUUGCGUUGCCUGUCCUGCUGCAGGCCCUCGCCCUCUCCCGAGAGUACAGCCUACAGUACUUGGCUUCGGAGACGGUGCUGAACUUGGCUUUCUCCCAGGUAUGUCUGACCUUUGCAUUCCUGAACAAGCCCUGAAUAUUCUGCACACGGCAAUAGAACCUGUCUUGGCCCAUGGAGCUGUCCUGGACAAAGGCUGUGCCAUGUUCUUGGUGGCCAAAUGUCAGGUGGCAUCGGCAGAUUCCUACGCUCCGCGGAAGAAGAUCGAAGCUUUGGAAUCUGCCAUCCUGAAUCUAAACGAAGCCAAGACGUACUUCGCCAAAGUGGACUGCAAAGAGCAGCUCCGAGACGUUCUCUACUUCCAAGCCCGGCUGUUCCACACCCUCGGCAAGACCCAGGAGAGGAACAAAUGUGCCAUGUUGUUCCGCCAGUUGCACCAGGAGCUGCCAGCACACGGCGUCCCCUUGAUCAAUGCCUUCAAGUGAGGCGUGGAAAGAUGAGGUUUCUUUGUUUUCCUGGCUUUUCUACAAAUGCCUUUUUAUUCUGCUCCGUCAGCCCUGUUUCAGAGUAACUGCCAGUAAAUCACGGUCU